RNAcentral lists this unclassified non-coding RNA (18 nucleotides) under Chlamydomonas reinhardtii. RNAcentral's name for it is "small RNA Cre_1321". The record is from RNAcentral. Lineage: Eukaryota; Viridiplantae; Chlorophyta; Chlorophyceae; Chlamydomonadales; Chlamydomonadaceae.
CGGCUCAGCUUCAAAGCC